Molecule: ribosomal RNA, 253 nt
Filed under: uncultured bacterium
Lineage: Bacteria
Description: partial 16S ribosomal RNA
Rfam family: Bacterial small subunit ribosomal RNA
Source: RNAcentral
UACAUGGGGUGCAAACGUUGCUCGGAAUUAUUGGGCGUAAAGCGCACGUAGGCGGUCCACUAAGUCGGAUGUGAAAGCCCUCGGCUUAACCGAGGAAGUGCAUCCGAAACUGGCGGGCUUGAGUACGAAAGAGGGUCGCGGAAUUCCCGGUGUAGAGGUGAAAUUCGUAGAUAUCGGGAGGAACACCGGUGGCGAAGGCGGCGACCUGGGUCGAUACUGACGCUGAGGUGCGAAAGCGUGGGGAGCAAACAGG